UCCAUUGAUUAAACUUUAUUGAGUGCUUUUGAAUCGUGCACUAUAAAGGAAAGGGUGAAAAUAAGGCAACACCAAUAGAAUGUGCUUAAUCUCUAUUUAAUUAAUAUAUAAGUUGAGACAAUAUACAAAAAAAAAUGCAAUGUACAUACUUUAAUAGUACACGAUACAAUAGAAAUUGAGAUAAAUAUAUCAUGAAUAUACAAUAGAAAUUGUGUCUAUCCUAGUUGCACUCAGGCUUUAGCUAAUCUUCCACAAACUCUAGAGUUUCCUUGUAGUUGGAGAACUGGUACAAUAUCAAGCUCGUGUUGAGCUUUUCUGCUUGUAUAUGGCACAUUAUGUGCACUAAUUACUUGGUAUUGGAUAUAAAGUCCUGACCUAUUUAAUCUCAUGCUUCAUGUGUUACCUAAAAUUNNNNNNNNNNNNNNNNNNNNNNNNNNNNNNNNNNNNNNNNNNNNNNNNNNNNNNUUGCUCACCUAAAAUCACUCUUUAAGGUCGCAGUCCCGUUGUCGAGAUGAACUAAAUAAUAAAUUUCAAGCUUGAUAUUGAAAGCUACUCCCAUAUUUCCCUUCAGCGUGUAUACACUUUAACCAAUAGAUCUUGAAAGACAUCAACAACUGUUGAACCUCGCAAUACAACAUUGUGAAAUCAAAGAGUACACACAUUAAAUUAUGGAGACUUUAAGUAACUAAAAAAUCUAAUAUGCCUCUUUGGAAUAUUGGCAGGAUCUUCCUUUAUAACCUUCGCCUAUGAAAUAAUCAUCUAUUUUGUACCCCCCCAUUGCAUUGCAUUACACUGUCCACUAUACCAUAUUUAAAAAAAUAGAAUUUAAAAUAUUUGAUCGGAUACAUCAAAUAUGGAAGUCUCCACUUUGAAUUUGGUGCCUCUGGCAGCUUGAACUUGAAGGUGUGCCAUGUGUUACCUGCAAUGAUGUGUCCAUUUACAAACAUAGUUAGCCACAACUCUCAACCUCACCAUUGAAAGUUAAAAUGUUUAUUAAAGUUAAAAGUUAAAAUGUUUAAUCAAGAAACAUACAUACAUGCUUAUUAUAGUUGCAGCCACAUGAUUAUGUGGUUAAAAAUUAUGCAGGCUGGAUCUUGGAGUUAUAACAGAACUGAAAAGUGGUUCCAAGUGCUCUUUAAUUUGUAAAAACAUUUUCAAAGUUAAUUCAAGAAUAUUACUUUCAUCAAAGAGAAUGAAACAAUGGUAACACUUUCUCAGCCCUGUCAUAAACAAUCCAGUUUAGAAUACAAUCUAAAAGGCUCAUUGACAUUAUGUAAGUGCUCACAUCCAAAUCCAUCAAAUUUCAUUCAAGCACUUUCCACAUUUUCAUUUACUGUUGCCCAAUUUAUGAUCUUUUUUUUCAUAUCAGAAAACUGAUAAUUGAAUGCCCAAUAAUUUCAAGAAACUAAAAAUUAGGUAAAUAAUCUUUUUACUUGAUAAUAGAUUAGGGAAAUCUCCGAAUAAUGUAGAGAAGUUCAAAAAACCAUUCCAGGAUCAACAAAAAUGAACUUAGAAAAGAGGACUCGCCCAUUUAAGAACCACCAAAAUCAUUACCAAAUCCUCAUUUACAAAUUAAGACAUCGGCAACUGCAACAUACAGAGCAACAUAGCAUCAAUGAGAUUGGUAGCAGAAUCAAAUCAAACAAAUAAAGAACCAUAGAAAGCUUAAUAAUCACUAUAUAAGCACUUUGGCUUUUAUGUUCCAACACUAUUUACUUGAUUGCUUGCAAAGUGAAGUCUUUCUUUUAAGUGAGGCCUUAAAUAUUCAAAGUGAAAAAAUCAUUCAUAAAUUUAUAAGAAAGCGAAAGUUAUAGAAAUAUUCAUAAACUAAAAAAUAAUAUAAGAAUUAGUUUUUGCAUCAAUCAACAUUUCAUAUAAUAUAUAUGCAUAAAUUGUGAUCCAAUGAAUCACCAAUAAAAAUCACAAUGCAACUUCGUAAAAGUAAUCAACAGUUACAACAUAACUACAUGUCUUUUCUCAAUGCAUAUUUAUCUCAUGAAUGACCAUUAACUUAAACAGAAUAAAAAAUCACAACUUUGAUUUAUAGUUAAAUAGUUAAAUUCAUAUGAAUGAAAGAUCUAUAUAAUUGAUGUACGAUAAGAAACUAAUAGAAGUUGGAAUCAGCAUGUUUCUUUCAAUGUGGUCAUGUUAUAAGUAGGUAAUUACCUUGAUUAAAAACUAUACCAUAAACAGAUUAGUGGAAAGUACACACACUUCUUUGAUAUAACUUUUUUAAGCUUGUGUAUUAAAAUAAUGAACAAAGUGAAAGCAUUAGACACUUCCAUCUGCACAUGAAUUAGAAGCAUUUCAGAGGCAAAGGUUUCAAAAUAAAUAAGGAACCAUAAAUAUAUUAUAAGCAUAAGUCUAUAACCUUACUUUUGAGAAGCAUGCAAUUCCUCAAAAUUAGGACCUCGAGCAAAUUUCUACCAAUGCAGCUGCCAAGUUUCCUGAGAGAAGAAUUCAACUAACAAAUUUAGGACCAGUAUAAGAAAGAAACACACUACUAUAAGAACUCAGCAGACCACCUCUAAAAGAAGCUUCAUGUAAAUAACAAAUCAAAAUAAGAAAAACAUAUAGUAGUUAUCAAACUCUAAUUCUAAAACAAAAAAGUAAAGCCAAAGAAAUACAAAAUUAGGGAUUAGAAAUACAAAUGAAAUAAAAUAGAUGGCUAUUAAAAAUUAGGUAUUUUGAAAAAGAAAGAGUAUACCCAGAAUCAAACAAUAACAUUGUCGUCGUUGGGCCGUGUGCUCUGCUUCAUCGAUCUUUGUCGUCGUUGGGUUUGUGAACCUGAACAAACAAUAACAUUCCCAAAAAAAAAAUUAAAAAUCAGAAUAUGAAAUUAAAUCAUGAAAUAAGGAAGGGAUUGAGAAGCAAGUUAAAACCUUUCUUAUUGACAAAGCUGAAGAAGCAUAUACCCAAAAUUUGAGGAAAAAAGUUGACAACAUAGAAAACCAUAUCAAAAACACGACAAAGAUAAACGUUGUUUUUGAAAAAUUUUGGAGGGGUUUUUGAAAUUUGAAAGCAUGAUGCAUUAGUCAAAGUUUGCAGAGAACACUUAGUUUUUCACCAAAAUGGAAGUUUUUGUUGAAGAUGGAGAGAAAGAAGACAUCAACAAAGCAGAAAGGGAAGAGAAAGAUUCUUUCCUUUUUCUUUUUUUAAAUUUUUUUUCUUUCUUUUUUCUGUUAUAUUGAAUUUUAAAAUUUGCAAA
RNAcentral lists this long non-coding RNA (3208 nucleotides) under Trifolium pratense (red clover). RNAcentral's name for it is "long non-coding RNA (TPRA_LNC006718)". Lineage: Eukaryota; Viridiplantae; Streptophyta; Magnoliopsida; Fabales; Fabaceae. The record is from RNAcentral.